GGGCGUUAAGUUGCAGGGUAUAGACCCGAAACCCGGUGAUCUAGCCAUGGGCAGGUUGAAGGUUGGGUAACACUAACUGGAGGACCGAACCGACUAAUGUUGAAAAAUUAGCGGAUGACCUGUGGCUGGGGGUGAAAGGCCAAUCAAACCGGGAGAUAGCUGGUUCUCCCCGAAAGCUAUUUAGGUAGCGCCUCGUGAAUUCAUCUCCGGGGGUAGAGCACUGUUUCGGCUAGGGGGCCAUCCCGGCUUACCAACCCGAUGCAAACUGCGAAUACCGGAGAAUGUUAUCACGGGAGACACACGGCGGGUGCUAACGUCCGUCGUGAAGAGGGAAACAACCCAGACCGCCAGCUAAGGUCCCAAAGUCAUGGUUAAGUGGGAAACGAUGUGGGAAGGCCCAGACAGCCAGGAUGUUGGCUUAGAAGCAGCCAUCAUUUAAAGAAAGCGUAAUAGCUCACUGGUCGAGUCGGCCUGCGCGGAAGAUGUAACGGGGCUAAACCAUGCACCGAAGCUGCGGCAGCGACACUUAUGUGUUGUUGGGUAGGGGAGCGUUCUGUAAGCCUGUGAAGGUGGCCUGUGAGGGUUGCUGGAGGUAUCAGAAGUGCGAAUGCUGACAUAAGUAACGAUAAAGCGGGUGAAAAGCCCGCUCGCCGGAAGACCAAGGGUUCCUGUCCAACGUUAAUCGGGGCAGGGUGAGUCGACCCCUAAGGCGAGGCCGAAAGGCGUAGUCGAUGGGAAACGGGUUAAUAUUCCCGUACUUGGUGUUACUGCGAAGGGGGGACGGAGAAGGCUAUGUUGGCCGGGCGACGGUUGUCCCGGUUUAAGCGUGUAGGUGUGUGUUCCAGGUAAAUCCGGUUCACUUUAACACUGAGGCGUGACGACGAGGCACUACGGUGCUGAAGCAACAAAUGCCCUGCUUCCAGGAAAAGCCUCUAAGCAUCAGGUAACAUCAAAUCGUACCCCAAACCGACACAGGUGGUCAGGUAGAGAAUACCAAGGCGCUUGAGAGAACUCGGGUGAAGGAACUAGGCAAAAUGGUGCCGUAACUUCGGGAGAAGGCACGCUGACACGUAGGUGAAGUGAUUUACUCAUGGAGCUGAAGUCAGUCGAAGAUACCAGCUGGCUGCAACUGUUUAUUAAAAACACAGCACUGUGCAAACACGAAAGUGGACGUAUACGGUGUGACGCCUGCCCGGUGCCGGAAGGUUAAUUGAUGGGGUCAGCGCAAGCGAAGCUCCUGAUCGAAGCCCCGGUAAACGGCGGCCGUAACUAUAACGGUCCUAAGGUAGCGAAAUUCCUUGUCGGGUAAGUUCCGACCUGCACGAAUGGCGUAAUGAUGGCCAGGCUGUCUCCACCCGAGACUCAGUGAAAUUGAACUCGCUGUGAAGAUGCAGUGUACCCGCGGCAAGACGGAAAGACCCCGUGAACCUUUACUAUAGCUUGACACUGAACAUUGAGCCUUGAUGUGUAGGAUAGGUGGGAGGCUUUGAAGUGUGGACGCCAGUCUGCAUGGAGCCGACCUUGAAAUACCACCCUUUAAUGUUUGAUGUUCUAACGUGGACCCGUAAUCCGGGUUGCGGACAGUGUCUGGUGGGUAGUUUGACUGGGGCGGUCUCCUCCUAAAGAGUAACGGAGGAGCACGAAGGUUGGCUAAUCCUGGUCGGACAUCAGGAGGUUAGUGCAAUGGCAUAAGCCAGCUUGACUGCGAGCGUGACGGCGCGAGCAGGUGCGAAAGCAGGUCAUAGUGAUCCGGUGGUUCUGAAUGGAAGGGCCAUCGCUCAACGGAUAAAAGGUACUCCGGGGAUAACAGGCUGAUACCGCCCAAGAGUUCAUAUCGACGGCGGUGUUUGGCACCUCGAUGUCGGCUCAUCACAUCCUGGGGCUGAAGUAGGUCCCAAGGGUAUGGCUGUUCGCCAUUUAAAGUGGUACGCGAGCUGGGUUUAGAACGUCGUGAGACAGUUCGGUCCCUAUCUGCCGUGGGCGCUGGAGAACUGAGGGGGGCUGCUCCUAGUACGAGAGGACCGGAGUGGACGCAUCACUGGUGUUCGGGUUGUCAUGCCAAUGGCACUGCCCGGUAGCUAAAUGCGGAAGAGAUAAGUGCUGAAAGCAUCUAAGCACGAAACUUGCCCCGAGAUGAGUUCUCCCUGAGACUU
RNAcentral lists this ribosomal RNA (2153 nucleotides) under Salmonella enterica. RNAcentral's name for it is "bacterial LSU rRNA". It matches the Rfam family "Bacterial large subunit ribosomal RNA", at positions 690 to 2823 of the family's 2925-position model. Lineage: Bacteria; Pseudomonadati; Pseudomonadota; Gammaproteobacteria; Enterobacterales; Enterobacteriaceae. The record is from RNAcentral.